RNAcentral lists this long non-coding RNA (1174 nucleotides) under Salmo salar (Atlantic salmon). Its description in RNAcentral is "lncRNA (ENSSSAG00000107676.1)". Lineage: Eukaryota; Metazoa; Chordata; Actinopteri; Salmoniformes; Salmonidae. The record is from RNAcentral.
UAUGUCUAGAACGAGCCAAGGAGCGUGCAGCUCUGGUCAUCUGAGUGACUUGUGGGUACCAGUGCGUGUCGGUCCACUUCCAGACCCCGCAGCCGGUCAAUGUACUCCCAGCCGGACGUCUAGUUCUCCAGGUCCAGAGCGACCACGGUCCAAAAGAAAUUAUCUCCAUGAUAACCUGGGAGCGGGAGCCAGAGAAUGCAAAAACUCCAGGGAAUCCUGGGAAAAUGACGUUGAUUACGUUCCCCGGUCAAGACAAACUCUUGGACGGGCGUCUGAGUCUGGAGCAGCAGGGGUCAAUACUGAAGCUGGAGGGCUUUGGCGUGGCGGACAGCGGGGUGUACAUCGUGACCGUCACUGACCAGGCUGGUGUCAAGACCUCUGCGCAGUGUAUCGUCAAGGAGUACGAGGCUGUGCACCACCCCUCAGUGAGAGUGAACGCGUCCCACUCCUCCCUGUUCUGUGUGGAGACCUGGGGGACAGACCUUAAAUUCAGCUGGCUCCACGAGCGGGCAGCCAUCUCCGAUGCUGUGGGACACGUGUCGCCUGAUGGGAAGACCCUGUUCAUCUCCUCCUCCCCCAUCUGUGGUCACUUCACCUGCAUGAGCCGUGUGAGAGAGAGGACAAAAGGACCACGGUGGCAGUGGUCUGGCUCAUCAUCCUACUGGUCUGUGGAGCAGUGCUAGCUUUUCUACUGUGGAGGAGACACAGGCGAUACAGUAACAGAGGAGAGAGGCUUCAGGAGCAUUUUGAGGACAACUUGUAACGGUGAACCAUUGAUUACAGUACCCAAGUACUUUCGCUACACUCCCCUACUCAAAGAUGGACUCAUAAAAGGACAGUAAGUGUGCAAAACGCUUUGGGAGGAGCUUCCUUCCCUGUGAGCAGCAAGACCUUUCAGUGCAUUGGAACAAUGUGGAAAGUGAACUGCUUUGUUGGCCAAUUGACGAGUUCUAAAAUUGGAAAGAUCAACUUUUGCCCAGUGUGUUGCCUGUUUUUGUAGAAGCUAUCAUUUUUAUCCCGCCUCUCAUUGUACUGAACUACACUUGAUAUUUUUUUAUGUAACGCUCUAAAAUGAUUUGUUUUAAAAACAAUUCCUUAUUCUCUAACUUUUCUAUAUUGUAAACAUAUUGUAUAUUUUGCUGCCUAUUCUUUGUAAUAAAAAGCACAUUUUAAA